GAUGAACGCUGGCGGCGUGCCUAAUACAUGCAAGUCGAGCGAACGGACGAGCAGCUUGCUUCUCUGAUGUUAGCGGCGGACGGGUGAGUAACACGUGGAUAACCUACAUAUAAGACUGGGAUAACUUCGGGAAACCGGAGCUAAUACCGGAUAAUAUUUUGAACCGCAUGGUUCAAAAGUGAAAGACGGUCUUGCUGGCACGUAUAGAUGGAUCCGCGCUGCAUUAGCUAGUUGGUAAGGUAACGGCUUACCAAGGCAACGAUGCAUAGCCGACCUGAGAGGGUGAUCGGCCACACUGGAACUGAGACACGGUCCAGACUCCUACGGGAGGCAGCAGUAGGGAAUCUUCCGCAAUGGGCGAAAGCCUGACGGAGCAACGCCGCGUGAGUGAUGAAGGUCUUCGGAUCGUAAAACUCUGUUAUUAGGGAAGAACAUAUGUGUAAGUAACUGUGCACAUCUUGACGGUACCUAAUCAGAAAGCCACGGCUAACUACGUG
Molecule: ribosomal RNA, 497 nt
Filed under: uncultured bacterium
Lineage: Bacteria
Description: partial 16S ribosomal RNA
Rfam family: Bacterial small subunit ribosomal RNA
Source: RNAcentral